Molecule: ribosomal RNA, 346 nt
Filed under: uncultured bacterium
Lineage: Bacteria
Description: bacterial SSU rRNA
Rfam family: Bacterial small subunit ribosomal RNA
Source: RNAcentral
AGAGUUUGAUCCUGGCUCAGAUUGAACGCUGGCGGCAGGCCUAACACAUGCAAGUCGAGCGGCAGCGGGAAAGUAGCUUGCUACUUUUGCCGGCGAGCGGCGGACGGGUGAGUAAUGCCUGGGAAAUUGCCCAGUCGAGGGGGAUAACAGUUGGAAACGACUGCUAAUACCGCAUACGCCCUACGGGGGAAAGCAGGGGACCUUCGGGCCUUGCGCGAUUGGAUAUGCCCAGGUGGGAUUAGCUAGUUGGUGAGGUAAUGGCUCACCAAGGCGACGAUCCCUAGCUGGUCUGAGAGGAUGAUCAGCCACACUGGAACUGAGACACGGUCCAGACUCCUACGGGAGG